UCCCACCGGAAAACGCUGCCGAUGUGGACGCGCGCGAGGAUGAGGAGCCAUGCACGCGUCCGAGGAGCAUCUCACACCAACAGUCCCGCGUACCUCCUGUCUCCGCCGCUCAUUGGUCUCGCGCACGCAGUGUUGGGGGGUGGUGUGGUGGUAGUUUGCUCGCGCAAGCGCGGAUCACAUGACGGUUGGUUUUUUUUCUGGAGGCUGUGACGGUGUCUGAGGGUUGAGAGCUCGAGCAGGACCAGGAGGGAAAAAAGAAGCCACAUAAGAGCCGUUAGCGUGAGAUUGUGUGUUAGUGUGGAGGGAUCGUACUGCGCAGCAGAGAUAAACUCUCAUCAUUCACAUACGGGAGUUAAAAGAAAGAAAUCCCUCUGCGAAAAGCUUCCAGUAAAAGGACAAAAAAACCAAAAAGACAACCCAACAAGGAAAAAAAAAGACAAGGUUUGGGACCGAGAAGACGAGCGAGUGGCUGUUCAACACCGGAACUUUCUAAGCUUUCUCGUGUGUGCGUGUUUCUGGGGAGGGGGGGAAAGUUUUUUUGGAAUAUGGUUGGGGAAAUGGAAAAUAAGGAGCGACCAAAACCUACCCCAGACUAUCUCAUGCAACUGAUGAACGACAAAAAGCUGAUGAGUAGCCUGCCUAACUUCUGCGGCAUUUUCAAUCAUUUGGAGAGGUUACUGGAUGAAGAAAAACUAAAGAACUGAUCAAUUGACUUCAGAAAGAAAGGAGAACACGCCCCCAUCUACAUCAACAGAACUGAGGUUGAAAGGGUGAAGUGUCAAGUUUCUCAGUGACAGUAACCGACAACCUGUCUUGGACUUCCCACAUAGAUGUGACAGUCAAGAAGGCAUGACAAUGCCUCUUCUUCCUCAGGUGGCUCAGGAAAUUUGGCACGUCCAUGAGGACCCUCGCCAACAUUUACAGAUGCGCCAUUGAAAGCAUGCUGUUCGGGUGGAUAAUGGCCUGGUAUGGCAACUGCUUUGCCUAGGACUGUAAGAAACUACAGAAGGUUGUGUCCGCAGCCCAGACAAUCACGGAAGCCAACCUUCUAGCCAUAGACUCUGUUUAUACAGCUUGUUGCUGCAGAAAGGCUGCCAGCAUUAUCAAAGACCCAUCGCACCCCGGUAAUGAUCUCCUGUGCCUGAAGAGGUUGUAGAAGUUUGAGCGCACACCCUGACAGGCUCAGGAACAGCUGCUUCCUAGCUGUUAUAAGACUGAAUGGACUCUCGAGCCUCAAAUAAUGCUGAUCUUGCUAAUGUUGAUCUCGCCUAGUGCAUGCCCUGUGCAGUGUAACCUGUAUGCCUCAAGUUUUGUUUUACAACCUUUGAUCUGUACAUCCUUGCUUACUAUGAUCUGCCUCUACUGCUCAUAAAGCUUUUCACUGUACUCUGGUACAUGUCACAAUAAAUCAAUCAGUAAAUUAAUCAAUCACUUUGUUUUAGCAAAAUGGCAGGAUUAACAGUUUAACUAACUUCAUUGCUGCAAUGCGUUGCUGAUUUUCCAAGCUUGCAAAACUGAACAGCGUGGUGCUGAGCUAAGGCUGGGAUCGCUCUUGUUGUCGUCGUUGUGGUUGUAUCUAAAAGCCCAGUGAAAAGAAAACAUAUGCAUUCACUGGAAGAUAAUGCACCCCUGCAGAAAAAAUGCUUCCUUUGUCAAAAUGGGUAAAAUAAAUAAAGAAACUUGUUCCAGGUCA
Rhincodon typus (whale shark) is the source of this 1693-nucleotide long non-coding RNA. RefSeq lists it as uncharacterized. NCBI's taxonomy places the organism in Eukaryota, Metazoa, Chordata, Chondrichthyes, Orectolobiformes, Rhincodontidae. The record is from RefSeq and is a predicted model, not a curated record. The transcript is spliced from 2 exons.